GAAUAUUGUUCUUAGUAUCCCAACUGUAAACCCUCUCCUCUGGAUUUGCUAAUAGGAGAAGGUUUACAGUUGGGAUAAAAAGAACAAUAUUU
RNAcentral lists this microRNA precursor (92 nucleotides) under Physcomitrium patens. RNAcentral's name for it is "Physcomitrella patens miR11330 stem-loop (ppt-MIR11330)". Lineage: Eukaryota; Viridiplantae; Streptophyta; Bryopsida; Funariales; Funariaceae. The record is from miRBase by way of RNAcentral.